RNAcentral lists this long non-coding RNA (487 nucleotides) under Chloebia gouldiae (Gouldian finch). RNAcentral's name for it is "Erythrura gouldiae (Gouldian finch) lncRNA (ENSEGOG00005012709.1)". The record is from RNAcentral. Lineage: Eukaryota; Metazoa; Chordata; Aves; Passeriformes; Passeridae.
UUCAAACAUACUGUCUUUGAAAGAUAUUUUUACAAGGCAUAGAAUAUCCCAUGGCAAUGGAACAAUCCUUUGGAAUAAAGAAGAGAGAUGAAGGUGGUAGAGCUUCUGAAUGUUGGAGCUCAAACGCUGCACAAACAUUAGAGACUCGUGCUGUCUGAGGUGGCAGUGAAAUAGGAGGAUUCUGUACUUCACCUUUUUGCAGAGACCAAAGCUCUAACACCUGAAAAGAUGAAACCUGCCAGCUCCCAGCUGAUGUUACAGCCUGAGUGGAAAGGCCUGUGUUGGCCUUCACUAUCUUAAAAUUUGCCCUUAUCUCUGCUCUUCCAGAGUUGGUGUUUCAGAAAUUACUCCACCAAGUUGUUGCAUUUUUGUGGGGCUUGUGUAGCUGACCUACCUAUAGUGCUUUGAAAAGUCCAGUCCUUAGGAAUCCAGUGUUGCUUUAUGGCGCAAAACCAUCAUCAAUAAAAGUUUAUAGAUUUAAAUAAAG